GAUGAACGCUGGCGGCGUGCCUAAUACAUGCAAGUCGAGCGAACAGACGAGGAGCUUGCUCCUCUGACGUUAGCGGCGGACGGGUGAGUAACACGUGGAUAACCUACCUAUAAGACUGGGAUAACUUCGGGAAACCGGAGCUAAUACCGGAUAAUAUAUUGAACCGCAUGGUUCAAUAGUGAAAGACGGUUUUGCUGUCACUUAUAGAUGGAUCCGCGCCGCAUUAGCUAGUUGGUAAGGUAACGGCUUACCAAGGCAACGAUGCGUAGCCGACCUGAGAGGGUGAUCGGCCACACUGGAACUGAGACACGGUCCAGACUCCUACGAGAGGCAGCAGUAGGGAACCUUCCGCAAUGGGCGAAAGCCUGACGGAGCAACGCCGCGUGAGUGAUGAAGGUCUUCGGAUCGUAAAACUCUGUUAUUAGGGAAGAACAAAUGUGUAAGUAACUAUGCACGUCUUGACGGUACCUAAUCAGAAAGCCACGGCUAACUACGUG
RNAcentral lists this ribosomal RNA (497 nucleotides) under uncultured bacterium. RNAcentral describes it as "partial 16S ribosomal RNA". It matches the Rfam family "Bacterial small subunit ribosomal RNA", at positions 28 to 507 of the family's 1533-position model. The record is from RNAcentral.